This 71-nucleotide transfer RNA is filed under the name Minisyncoccota bacterium. Its description in RNAcentral is "tRNA-Asp". It matches the Rfam family "tRNA". Rfam says of the family: Transfer RNA (tRNA) molecules are approximately 80 nucleotides in length. Their secondary structure includes four short double-helical elements and three loops (D, anti-codon, and T loops). The record is from RNAcentral. Lineage: Bacteria; Bacillati; Minisyncoccota.
GACGCUGUCGUCUAACGGUAAGACAGGGCCUUGUCAGGGUCUGUAUAUCGGUUCGAUUCCGGUCAGUGUCG